Caenorhabditis elegans is the source of this 21-nucleotide non-coding RNA. The record is from Ensembl. NCBI's taxonomy places the organism in Eukaryota, Metazoa, Nematoda, Chromadorea, Rhabditida, Rhabditidae.
UUGUAAAUUUGCCUUUAUGAU